RNAcentral lists this long non-coding RNA (7969 nucleotides) under Lactuca sativa (garden lettuce). RNAcentral describes it as "long non-coding RNA (LSAT_LNC005101)". Lineage: Eukaryota; Viridiplantae; Streptophyta; Magnoliopsida; Asterales; Asteraceae. The record is from RNAcentral.
UGAUAGUGAAAGUGUAGUUGCCUUAUCCAAGGAUCCAAGGGAACACGGGAGUGUUGGAUAAGGUGUCUAAGUCCAUAACUAUUUCGGGUGUGUACUUGACCCGACCCGGCAUGGUCCAUUUGGGUUGCAUGGCACCAUGCAAUUGGAUAGACUAAUUGAGAGAAAUAACACUUGGAGAUUAUUAAUAUAUUAUAAGUUCUAAUAUAUUAAUAAUAUUAUUUGAUUAGUUUGAUCAAAGAAUUAAUUUGGAAUUAAUUAAGUGAUCAAAGGAUAACUAAUUAAAUAUAUGGGUUGAUUAUGUAAAUCAUUCAUAUCUUGUAUAGUGGGCUAAGAGGCUCCAUGGAUUAUCAAGUUGGGUUCUACCCAUAGGAUGCUCCAUGGAUGCUCCAUGGGAGUUACAAACCCAUGGGUCAUGGAAAUGAAGAGUCAUGACACAUUAGGGUUUACAUGGUGUAACCCUAGAUGUGUCAACACUAUAUAAGAGUCCCAUUCUCCACCAAAAUCGGCUACACAUAAGAAACUAGAGGGCUUGGCCGAUUUUAAGAAGUGUGUAUUAUCUCAAAAGUCUUUCCAAGAGCAUUUGGUGUUGUGUGAAGCAUUUGAGGCAUCACACUUGGGGUGCUAGGCUCACAAGGUUUCAAGGAACAUAAGCAACAACAAGGUAAGUUAUUCUAUCUUUCAUUCAAGUUAAAAUUGUUCCCCAUGUAUGCUAGAUAGGAAUAUAACCUUGGAAAUUCAACUUUGCAUGAUAAUUAGACAAACAUAGAUCCAAGGUUAUUAGGGUUGCAUGUACACUUAGGAAGUGUUAGAAUGCUCAAAACCCAUCAGUGGUAUCAGAGCCUAGGCUUGUUUGUUUGUUAUUUGUGCUUAAAAGUUGAAGAAAGUCGAAAAUCUUGCUGUCUGACUGAUGGACUCGGCGAGUCCAUGGGGAGGACUCGACGAGUUCAUGUGUAUCUUCAACCUACUCGGCGAGUAGGUUUAUGCACUCGGCGAGUAGGGUCGACAGAGUGCAGAAUUUCGACUUGUGUUGCUGGAAAUGGAUUAGAAUCAUUACCCUAAAAUGUUUUGGUACUUGAAAACUUAUUUUAGAAGGUGUAAUGUCUUUUCUAACUCAUUUACAACAACUAGUUAUCAAAAUUACAAAGAUUAAAUGUGAUUUUGAUUCUUGAAAGUGUUCAUAUUCAUAUUCUUGUUCUUAUGAUGUUUAGAUGAUCAUAGGAAUUAUUUGUAACCUAUGUGGUAGAUUAAUUCAUGAUCAUAAUGUGUUUUAAUGGAGUCCAUAACUUGUCCUCAAGUUAUGGAAAACCAAAAGUCUCUUGGAUUAAAAACCAUUAAAAGAACACAAGAGUUAGGAAAAAUGAAAAGUCCUCAUUUUAUUACUCUAUUAAACUCAUAAGUUACAAGAAAUGAAAAGUUUUGAAAGUUUACAAAACUUGCCCUCAAGUUUUGGAACAAGUAAAGUUAAGUUAAAACUUUAGUUCCAACCCCUAGAAUUUUAAAAGUUAAAAUUCAACCCUUAUACUUAUAUUAUUAUGAUUUAAUAAUUAUAUAUAUAUGUAUAAGAACAAAGUCGUCUUACCGCUAGUACGCCUCAUUCACGAAGCCGGUCUAUAAGGUGGGUAUAAGGUUGUUGCCUAUAAAAUGGUGACUUAAUGGGUGUCCACUCUCACCCACCGCUUGCUUGAUCGGUGGAGGGUCGUUAGCCGAACGGGUAAGACAAGGACUUAUUAAUUCUCAUUCAAAGUAUGAUGAAUAUUAUAAAGUAACUAAAUGUUUUAUUAAAUUCCCAAUCUUAGUUACUUUAGGAAAAAUGUGAAUAAGGUGCUAUUCCAUGAAAUUACACUUUACACUUUGAUUAAGUCGUUGGUGGAGCGUGUGUGGUUAACCGGCACACUAACUUGGACUUAACAAGGUAGGUAAAGGGUGACUUAGGGUUUAUUAUAGUAUCGAUGGAGCGUGUGUGGUUAACCGGCACAUCGAUUGAGUGAUAAACUUUAAGGGUACCAAGUGAUUUGCAUGGUUACUUCACACCUCGUUUUGUGAUCCUCGGUAUCCCAGUCACAAAACUUGGAGGGCACACUCGAGAUUGAAACAUGCCUUUGAAAAGUUCAUUGAAUCUCAAAGAAUCUAGGAAUUUCUAAGAACCAUUCAAAAACCUAAUACUAAAAUAUUGCGGUUUUCGUGGUGGAAAUUGGUGAAUCGUCAUUCACCUACCUUUCAAAUAUGAUAUAGCUUAGAUUACGGCAUACCUCUUCUAAGUUAUAUUAUAUUGUGAUUGGAUCCUAGCCUUAAUAUUACAUUUGGGUGUUUUAUUAAGGACUCUCUUAUAUCUAAACUAAUCUUGUCCUCUUUCCUUCAGAUGUCUUUCAACAAUGCUUCUGGCUCUAAUCCUAAUGGCUCCUUUACCCUUAUGAACUUGUGUGGGAAAGUCACCUUUGAUGGAUCCAACUUCAAUGAGUGGAUCAGAAACAUCAGGAUGAUUACCCGCUACGAGGACAAAGAAUAUGUCCUUGACAAGGAGCUUAAGGAGAUUGAUGAGUCCACUGCAACUCCUCAGGAGAUCGCUGAAUUUCGGGCACAUGAAAGGGAUGCUACGAAAGUGGCUUGCAUCAUGAUGGCCACGAUGACAGCGGAACUCCAAAAGUCUUAUGAGGAUUUCUACCCUUAUGAAAUGCACCAAGAUUUGAUGGAAAGAUACCAUCAAAGUGCAAGACAAGAGAGGUAUGAAAUCAUCUGCUCCAUGAUAACAACCAUGAUGAAGGACGGGGAAUCCGUCACGAGCCACAUGCAGAAAAUGCAAAGGUAUGUGGAUCGUUUGCUGAAGCUUAAUGUGAACUUCCCGGAGGAUCUUGCAAUAGAUAUUAUUUUGCAUUCCUUACCAUCGUGCUAUGAUCAAUUCCGCAUGACAUAUCACAUGAACAAGGAAGAAGUCACCCUCAGCAAACUUCAGGGACUUCUCAAGACCGCAGAAUCAGGUCUUAAGGGGAAGUCGGUUGCUAUCACUCCUACUCAAAACUCUACUCCGGUUUUGGCAAUCGGGAAAAGUCGAGGGAGGAAGAGAAAGAGCUCUUCUAAGGGUACCAAGGUUCGGACCCUUGAUGGCUCUUCUUCAAGUGGAACCAAGAAAGGUUUCAUUACUCCUUCUUCUGACCCAAAAGAGGCUGAAUGCUUCUAUUGCCAUGAAAAAGCUCAUUGGAAGCGGAACUGCCCAAAAUACCAGCAAGAUGUGAAGGAUGGGAAAGUUAAACCCAACCAUGCAGGUAUUUACACUAUCAUUUCUAAUAACUCACCCCAUUCUAAUUCUUGGGUCCUUGAUACCGGGUGUGGUAUUCACAUUUGUUGUGACUUGCAGGGACUAAGAAGAAGUGAGGAUGUGGAGCAAGGAAGGAUAAACUUGAUCAUGGGGAAUAGGAAAGCUAUACCUGUUACCAAGAUUGGAGUUUAUACUUUAUCGCUAAGUAGUGGGUUUAGUUUAGAUUUGAAUAAGUGUUGUUAUUCGCCAGGAAUGGCAAGAAAUAUUAUUUCCUUUCAUGCUUUGUACAAACAAGGGUUUACCUUUUCAUUUAAUAAUGAAGUUGGUUCUAUAGAUGUUUUCUAUAAUAAUGUCUUUUAUUUUAAAGCAUUACCUUGUGAUGGUGUGUAUGAAGCUGUAUCUGUUGUAGAUAACUUGGGAAAUAAUGUUUUGUGUAUUGAUUCUACUAAUAAUAACUUGGAUAAAGCAUCUUUAUGGCAUUGUCGUCUUGGACAUAUAAGCAAGAAACGCAUAGGCCAACUCCAAAAGGAUGGAGUCUUGGAGUCGUUUGACCUAAAGUCAGAUGAUAGUUGCGAAUCAUGCUUACUUGGAAAAAUGACAAAGUCACCCUUCACAGGUUCGUGUGAGAGGGGUGAAGGUUUGUUGGACCUUAUACACACGGAUGUGUGUGGACCAUUCAAACAUGCCACAAGGGAUGCUAAUCGUUAUUAUUUGACUUUUACUGAUGAUUAUAGUAGAUAUGGAUAUGUCUACUUGAUCAAGCAUAAGUCAGAGACUUUCGAGAGGUUUAAGGAAUUUAAACAGGAAGUCGAGAAUCAAUUGGGCAGGAACAUUAAGAUGCUUCGAUCCGAUCGUGGUGGUGAGUAUCUUAGUUCAGAGUUCCUCGACUAUCUAAGGGAAUGUGGGAUAGUCUCACAAUUGACACCUCCCAGGACACCACAGUUGAAUGGUGUGGCUGAGAGGCGUAAUCGAACCUUGUUAGAUAUGGUUCGUUCCAUGAUGAGUCGAGCUACGCUACCAAUCUCAUUCUGGGGGUAUGCCUUAGAGACUGCCGCCCAUAUUCUUAAUCUAGUCCCUACAAAGAAAGUUGCCAAAACUCCUCACGAGAUGUGGACUGGUAAAGUACCUAAACUAGACCACAUCAAGAUUUGGGGUUGCGAGGCUUUCGUGAGACGCGAGACUCAUGAUAAGCUCGAACCUCGAAGCGAGAGGUGUAUUUUCAUCGGUUACCCACAGCGAUCCUUUGGUUACCUCUUCUACAGACCUAGUGACAAUGUGGUCUUUGUAGCAAGAAGAGGAGUCUUUCGAGAAAGAGAGUUUAUAAGCCAAGGAGACAGUGGGAGGCAAAUUGAUCUUGAAGAAAUUCAAGAAUCAAGCGGUGAAGGAACUUCAAACUCUAGCCCUCAACUUGAGGAGGAAACUCCUGUUGAGCCAAUUGACAAAUCUGUACCUCUGAGACGUUCCACGAGAGUUAGGAGUGCACCUGAGCAUUACUAUGGAUUCCAUAUUACUGCAGAAGGUGAGACACUUAUUAGUGAUGAGACACUAGUAAGUCAAGAUGACCCUAACAGCUACGAGGAAGCCAUGGCAGGCCCCGAGUCUGCUAAAUGGAAAGAGGCUAUGGAUAGCGAGAUACAAUCCAUGUAUGACAAUCAAGUUUGGAACUUGGUUGAAAAUGUACCAGGUCGUAAGACAGUAGGGUGCAAAUGGGUCUUCAAGAAGAAGACCGACAUGGAUGGUAAAGUACACACUUAUAAGGCUAGACUGGUUGCAAAGGGCUUCUCUCAAAUUCCUGGAGUGGAUUAUGAUGAGACCUUUUCUCCGGUAGCCAAGAUUAAGUCUAUUCGGGUUCUGUUAGCCAUAGCUGCAUUUCAUGACUAUGAAAUAUGGCAGAUGGAUGUCAAAACCGCUUUCCUUAAUGGAAAGUUGGCUGAAGAUGUUUACAUGAGUCAGCCAGAGGGUUUUGUCAGCAACGAGUACCCUAAUAGAGUGUGUAAGCUUGAGAAAUCCAUUUAUGGAUUGAAGCAAGCACCUCGCAGAUGGAAUCUUUGCUUUGAUGAAAAGGUCAAGGAAUUUGGCUUUUCUAGGAGUGAAGAUGAAUCUUGUGUGUAUGUCAAGGCUAGUGGGAGUAUAGUUAGCUUUUUGGUAUUGUAUGUGGAUGACAUACUACUCAUAGGAAACGACAUUCCAACCCUGCAGGAAGUAAAGUCCUGGCUUGGGAAGUGUUUCGCUAUGAAGGACCUUGGUGAAGCUGCCUAUAUUCUAGGGAUAAGAAUCUUGAGAGAUCGGAGUAAAAGACUAAUUGGACUUAGUCAGAGUACCUACUUGGAUAAGGUGCUGAAGAGAUUCAGCAUGCAGGAUUCCAAGAAAGGAGAGUUACCCAUCCAGAGUAACACCAGAUUGAGUAAGACACAAAGCCCUAGCACUGAGGCUGAGAUAGCAGAAAUGAGUCGAACACCUUACGCUUCGGCUGUAGGAUCGAUCAUGUAUGCUAUGACGUGUACUCGACCCGAUGUAGCUUUUGCCUUGAGCAUGGUUAGCAGGUAUCAGGCGAACCCUGGCAAGGCACACUGGACUGCGGUAAAGAAUAUCCUCAAGUACCUACGGAGGACUAAGGACUGGGUCCUUACCCUCGGUGGGAGUGAUGACUUGAGAGUUGUAGGGUAUAGUGAUGCUAGCUUCCAGACUGAUAGGGAUAAUUUCCGCUCUCAGUCGGGCUGGGUCUUUACCCUAAACGGAGGAGCAAUUUCUUGGAAGAGUUCCAAGCAAGAGACAGUGGCAGAUUCUACUUGUGAAUCAGAGUAUAUUGCAGCUAGCGAAGCAGCAAAGGAGGCGAUAUGGCUGAAGAACUUCAUUGGAGACCUUGGAGUUGUACCAGCUAUUAAAGAGCCAAUGGAAAUUUUCUGUGAUAGUGAAAGUGCUGUUGCCUUAGCCAAGGAACCAAGGGAUCAUGGGAGAUCCAGACACAUCGACAGAAAAUACCAUUUCAUUAGACAUCGGAUCGAAGAAGGACUCCUCGUGGCAAAGAGGGUAUCAUCGGAUGAGAACCCAGCAGAUCCCCUCACGAAGGGACUGAGUAGGGUUAAGCAUCUCCAGCAUGCUCGGAGCAUAGGGCUGAAGGAUGAUAUAAGUUUUAGUAGUUAGAUAACCCAGAAAUUUGUAAAGUGUAAUUGACAUUUGAUGAUGAAUAAAAGGUGUUUUAUUUAUGAGUAAAGUGUUGCUAUCUCUUGUCAAUCGUUUACUAUAUUUCUUUUGCAUGUUUUGACUUCCAGAAUAAUUUUGUUUGGUGUAACAUAUUAUUCAAACCUCCACAGUCGGUCAUAUGUCGGAAGUAGGUAUGAAUCAAGACUGUCAUGAUGGGUUGUAGAGGUCUAAGGUGUUGGACAAGGCUACAACAAUCAUGAGUGCUCAUAAGUUCUGAGCAUUGGACUCAACCCACGCUCACUGGAAUCACUUCAUGGAAUUCUAUCUCGAGUGAUCGUGAGACGGUAAUAUCAUAUAAGUCUUCAAACCUAGAGAUAUGAUUUGUUACUUACAAGUUGGUUAUGCAUUGACUGUACGAAACCGCAUUGGUAACUCGAUGUUAUAAAACGUACUUUUGUGUGUAAUUCAAUGAGUGGUAGAACAAACAUAUGAGUCGAAGUUUAUCUGUUCCUUCUUGGAUUAGAAGCUGAUAUCUGGGCCCCUCGAUGAUUUUGUUUUGACCCAUGUACCGGGCCCGGUCAGAACUAAGUUGAUGUGUUCAAUUAAGUUCUAUGUCAAACAAAUCGGAAAUCGGGAAACAAAUGCUGGACAAUAAGCAAGACAAUGUUCCAUGUAUUUGUCCGGCUGAUAUCUAGAACGGAGGAUUAUAUGAUCACUUAUCUUAAAUGGCGUACCAUCAUCUUCUCAGUUCCGAGAGACCUUGAAAGAGCAACGAUUGCCGGUCGGUUCCUGAAGUACUGGAGUUAUAGUUAUUAGAGACUUAUCCAAGUGGGAGACUGUUGGAUAAGGUGUCUAAGUCCAUAACUAUUUCGGGCUUGUACUUGACCCGACCCGGCAUGGUCCAUUUGGGUUGCAUGGCACCAUGCAAUUGGAUAGACUAAAUGAGAGAAAUAACACUUGGAGAUUAUUAAUAUAUUAUAAGUUCUAAUAUAUUAAUAAUAUUAUUUGAUUAGUUGAUCAAAGAAUUAAUUUGGAAUUAAUUAAGUGAUCAAAGGAUAACUAAUUAAAUAUAUGGGUUGAUUAUGUAAAUCAUCCAUAUCUUGUAUAGUGGGCUAAGAGGCUCCAUGGAUUAUCAAGUUGGGUUCUACCCAUAGGAUGCUCCAUGGAUGCUCCAUGGGAGUUACAAACCCAUGGGUCAUGGAAAUGAAGAGUCAUGACACAUUAGGGUUUACAUGGUGUAACCCUAGAUGUGUCAACACUAUAUAAGAGUCCCAUUCUCCACAAAAUCGGUGACACAUAAGAAACUAGAGGUCUUGGCCGAUUUUAAGAAGUGUGUAUUAUCUCAAAAGUCUUUCCAAGAGCAUUUGGUGUUGUGUGAAGCAUUUGAGGCAUCACACUUGGGGUGCUAGGCUCACAAGGUUUCAAGGAACAUAAGCAACAACAAGGUAAGUUAUUCUAUCUUUCAUUCAAGUUAAAAUUGUUCCCCAUGUAUGCUAGAUAGGAAUAUAACCUUGGAAAUUCAACUUUGCAUGGUAAUUAGACAAACAUAGAUCCAAGGUUAUUAGGGUUGCA